CCAGGGAUGCUGUUUUGACAAUUCAAAAUAAUCUCAUUCUUCAUAAAAGACAGCAUAGUUAAUGACCUCCCAAGUGAAGGUUGAUUCCUUUGUUUAAAACCUAGCUGAGCUGCAUCGAGUAACUCUUAAAAUUAUUAAAAAGUCAAUUAAUGCAUAGAGUUCAAACUGGCACGAUGCAGCUUCAAAUACUAUAAAGGCAUCCACAUUCGAGGUAAUGUAUUAACGGAAGUGCAAGCGGACAAUGACAUCAAAGUCAAUAACCAAGCUGUCCUUCAUAUGCCCUUAAUUAAAGUAAUAAGAAACAAAAAUUGAGCAAGUACAAACAUGCCAAAAAUAUUUAGCAGUAAUUCACAUCUUUUUCCCCUCCAAUCUAAGCUCCAAGAUCAAUAGAAUUUCCAUGUACUAUACAUUUUAAGUAUUUGCAAACAGAGAAAGCAGAAUUCCAAGCAACAUACCGCAGAGCUAGUAACUAAUACUGCUUCCAUAAAUAAUAGGAAGAUACAAAAUUUGACUAAC
RNAcentral lists this unclassified non-coding RNA (516 nucleotides) under Hevea brasiliensis (rubber tree). Lineage: Eukaryota; Viridiplantae; Streptophyta; Magnoliopsida; Malpighiales; Euphorbiaceae. The record is from RNAcentral.